AAUAAUGAUCCGUUUUCUAAAUAGAGCUUUUAACUGAUAUCUUAUGAACAAAUGCAAAAUUAUAAUUUUUAGGACUUUUUAGUCUUUGGUAGACAUGUAGGUAGCAUUAAAUUUUCUAAGAUCUAUACAAAGGGGAGAUAAAUUUCAAUUAUAUUGCAAUAAAAAAUAAGACUCUAAUAUCCAUUGAGAAAUUGUAGUAUCAGUAGGUUUUCUUCAUUUGUUUCAUUUUCUUUUCUUCUAAUCCAAAAAAUACUCGCUAUUAUAUGUUGUAUCAUUUCAUCUGUGGAGAUUUUCAUUUUUCAUGUGAUAUUUAGUAGCUGAGUAUUAAUGAUAGGUUGUUGUCAUCUGCAUUUACUGAUCACUAUAGUUAUAACCUCUGAAUCCAUUGAUAGUUUACUUAUUACUUAUUGUUGAUUAAGGUGGUACCCAACACCUUAACCAAAAUUAAUUUGGCUCGUUUAAUUUUCUUAAAAUUUUGACAAAGUAUUUACUUUGACACUUUAAC
RNAcentral lists this long non-coding RNA (505 nucleotides) under Mytilus galloprovincialis (Mediterranean mussel). The record is from RNAcentral. Lineage: Eukaryota; Metazoa; Mollusca; Bivalvia; Mytilida; Mytilidae.